This 1728-nucleotide ribosomal RNA is filed under the name Triticum aestivum (bread wheat). RNAcentral's name for it is "partial small subunit ribosomal RNA". The record is from RNAcentral. Lineage: Eukaryota; Viridiplantae; Streptophyta; Magnoliopsida; Poales; Poaceae.
AUGGCUCGCUCACCUGCCGAGUUCGUCUUGCUCCUUAUGGCAGCGGCAAUCUGGAGCUUCUUCCUCGUCGCCGGCGCAGGGCAGCUCCAGCCGAGCUGCAUAGGGCGCGAGAGGGACGCGUUGCUGGCCUUCAAGCAAGGCGUCAGCGACGACCCCAAGGACUACCUUGGGUCGUGGCGACAAGAGCGCCAAGAUUGCUGCCAAUGGGCAGGCAUCACCUGCGACAACGUAACUGGCCAUGUCGUCGAGCUUGACCUUGGCCAAGGAAAUUAUUUGGCCGGCCAGAUAAGUCCUUCCUUGCUCUCUCUAGAGCAUCUCGAGUACCUCAAUCUCUGGGGCACGGGACUGUGUGGGCCUGGUGGUCGUGUUCCAGAGUUCUUGGGUUCCUUAAAGAACUUGAAGUAUCUUGAUCUGUCCGGCAUGUCUUUCUCUGGUAUGGUGCCUCCUCAGUUUGGCAACCUGUCAAAGCUAGAAUACCUCGACCUAUCCCGCAUACAUUUCAACAAUACGCAGAUGGUCUUAACAGACAUCUCAUGGUUAACCCGUCUACCUCUGUUGGUGCAACUUGAUAUGAGUCUUAUCAACCUCAGCUCAAUAGCCGAUUGGCCUCUUGUUGUGAACAAGAUUCCAUCUUUGAAGUUGCUCCGUCUUGUUGAGUGCUCGCUUUCAAGUGCAAACCAAUCCCUCACACACCUAAACCUCACAAAUCUUCAUAACCUUGAUCUCUCCUUUAACCACUUUGGUCAUCCAAUCGCGUCCGGAUGGUUUUGGAACUUAACAAGCAUCAAGGACCUCAGCCUUGCUAGUAACUAUCUGUAUGGUCCAUUUCCUGAUGCACUCGCAAAUAUGACAUCCCUCCAAUGGUUAGAUUUGCAAGACAUGGGUAACAAAGCCACAAUGACAGUGGACUUGAAAAACCUAUGUGAUUUGGAAGAGCUAUGGCUUGAUGGAAGCCUCUCCUCUGGAAACAUAACAGAGUUUCUAGAUAAAUUGCCACAAUGUCCAUCCAACAAAUUGCAGUACUUGUACUUGAGCAGCAACAAUAUGGCUGGAAUUCUUUCCAACAGAAUGGGGCACUUAACCAACCUAUUUUGGUUCGACAUUUCUUACAAUAACAUUACUGGAGCUAUACCGCUAGGCAUUGGGAAUCUCUCUUGUUUACAAAGCCUUGUUCUUUCUAACAAUUUUCUUACUGGUGCUAUACCGCUAGGCAUCGGGAAUCUCUCUUCUUUAGAAGCUGUUUAUCUUUCUAACAAUUUUCUUACUGGUGCUAUACCGCUAGGCAUCGGGAAUCUCUCUUCUUUAGAAGUUCUUUAUCUUUCUAACAACCUUCUUACUGGAGCUAUACCGCUAGAGUUGGGAAAUUGCACUUAUGUCUAUCUCUCAAAUAACAAAUUUAGUGGACCUAUACAACUAGGGAUAGAGCACUGCACUACAUUAGAAGAACUUGACCUUUCUGAUAACAAUAUUACUGGAGUUAUACCCCCAUGGUUGGGGAAUUGCACUAGUUUGAGGCACCUUUCUCUUUCUAAUAACCUUCUCGUUGGACAUGUCCCAUCUAAGAUCACCUUGCUUGGCAAUUUGACUGAACUCGCCCUUGGCAACAAUAAUCUAGAUGGUGUGAUCACGGAGGAACACCUAGUUGCUCUAAAGAACUUAGAACACCUUGAUCUAUCACACAAUUCUUUCUCUGGUCCUAUGCCAUUAGAGUUUGGAGCUUACAAAUGA